RNAcentral lists this ribosomal RNA (245 nucleotides) under uncultured bacterium. Its description in RNAcentral is "partial 16S ribosomal RNA". It matches the Rfam family "Bacterial small subunit ribosomal RNA", at positions 524 to 768 of the family's 1533-position model. The record is from RNAcentral.
GACAGAGGUGGCGAGCGUUGUUCGGAUUUAUUGGGCGUAAAGCGAACGCAGGCGGUUUGGUAAGUCAGAGGUGAAAUUCUACAGCUUAACUGUGGGACUGCCUUUGAUACUGCCUUUCUUGAGUGCAUGAGGGGGAAGCGGAAUUCCGAGUGUAGAGGUGAAAUUCGUAGAUAUUCGGAGGAACACCGGUGGCGAAGGCGGCUUCCUGGCAUGUAACUGACGCUCAUGUUCGAAAGCGUGGGGAG